Molecule: ribosomal RNA, 254 nt
Filed under: uncultured bacterium
Lineage: Bacteria
Description: partial 16S ribosomal RNA
Rfam family: Bacterial small subunit ribosomal RNA
Source: RNAcentral
UACGGGGGGAGCAAGCGUUGUUCGGAUUUACUGGGCGUAAAGGGCGCGUAGGCGGCCACGACAAGUCACUUGUGAAAUCUCCGGGCUUAACUCGGAACGGUCAAGUGAUACUGUCGGGCUAGAGUGCAGAAGGGGCAACUGGAAUUCUCGGUGUAGCGGUGAAAUGCGUAGAUAUUCGGAGGAACACCAGUGGCGAAGGCGGCUCACUGGUCCAUUACUGACGCUGAGGUGCGAAAGCGUGGGGAGCAAACAGG